RNAcentral lists this ribosomal RNA (287 nucleotides) under Escherichia coli. Its description in RNAcentral is "partial 23S ribosomal RNA". It matches the Rfam family "Bacterial large subunit ribosomal RNA", at positions 952 to 1238 of the family's 2925-position model. Lineage: Bacteria; Pseudomonadati; Pseudomonadota; Gammaproteobacteria; Enterobacterales; Enterobacteriaceae. The record is from RNAcentral.
AACUGCGAAUACCGGAGAAUGUUAUCACGGGAGACACACGGCGGGUGCUAACGUCCGUCGUGAAGAGGGAAACAACCCAGACCGCCAGCUAAGGUCCCAAAGUCAUGGUUAAGUGGGAAACGAUGUGGGAAGGCCCAGACAGCCAGGAUGUUGGCUUAGAAGCAGCCAUCAUUUAAAGAAAGCGUAAUAGCUCACUGGUCGAGUCGGCCUGCGCGGAAGAUGUAACGGGGCUAAACCAUGCACCGAAGCUGCGGCAGCGACACUAUGUGUUGUUGGGUAGGGGAGCG